CAGAUUGAACAGUUUUUUUAAAGAUCAGAACAUUUAAUAAUAUUCGGGUAAUAAAGCAGGAGGUUCAUUGUGUUCUGGAUGGAAUGACGUCAUAAGAGCGAACGGUGACGACCUUUGAUUCAAUAAAUUACAAAGGAAUGUAAAAUGUGGAGUGAAAUGUUAUGCUGUAGGUACAGAGGAAGCUUGCCUAAUGGUAUACCUGUCUGACGAGACAAGGCAAGCAAACGACGCCAUUGUUCCGAUAAAUGUUACGAAGAGCUCUGGGAUGUUGUUUCCGAUCAGAA
Colias croceus (clouded yellow) is the source of this 284-nucleotide long non-coding RNA. RefSeq lists it as uncharacterized. The record is from RefSeq and is a predicted model, not a curated record. The transcript has 3 exons. NCBI's taxonomy places the organism in Eukaryota, Metazoa, Arthropoda, Insecta, Lepidoptera, Pieridae.